GAAUCCAUUCGUCCCAGUCCGUUUGAUCGACAUUUAUAUAAUGUCGAAGGUAUUCGGCUAGAGUUCGGUGAGAGCGUUGUAGCGCUCCGUUGCUUUCUGAGUGAUAGGCUGUUGUUUGUAUUUUUUCGAUUUUUAAUAAUCUACACGUAUUCUUGAAUAUCUCACUCAAGAAAUUUGUUCCUUGGUCCGUUAAAAUUUUUUCUGGGAUACCAUGUUCAAAAAUUAUUUUAGUCGCAAAUUUUUUUGCAAUUGUCGUAACUUUUUGGUUUAAUAUCAGAAUCGCUUUACUAAAUUUUGUCAGAUUAUCUUGGAAUGUUAAAAUAUAUUUGUUUCCUUUAUUUGUUAUUGUAAUCGGACCUACGCUAUCUAAAGUACAUUUUUUGAAAGACUUAUCGGCAGUGUCAGUUAUUAUUAGUGGUGCUUUAAUUUUCCGCGAUAAUUUUUUUUGACAAAAUCGCAUUUUGCUAUAUGUUCUUCGACAUCUUUUGUCAGUCCUCAUCAAUUAUGUGUUAAGCAAAUUCAAUUUAUUGUACGUUCCACUCCUUGGUAUCCUCCCGUAGGUGCAUCGUGAUAUUUGUAUAGUAUACGGCGCUUUUCAUCUUCCGUGUAUUCUUGCGUUAUCUUCGUGUUGUUUUUUCUUCUUCGACUUUGUUGAUAUCCGCCACGUGGCGACUUAGCGCGUCCUUUAAAUGCUUGAUUUUAAUUAAUGAUAUAGCCGCUCCCGUGUCAAAUAGUAAAUUUAUUUUUCCCUUUUUCGAUUCGCAUUGGUAAGGCGAUUAAGUCUAAUCCUGUAUGCGUCUGUGGUGCGUGUUUUCAUGUGUGUAACGCGAUAUUCGAUUACAGGUCGUCGCUGUUUCGUUUCCUCUCUAUCAUUCUCGUCGCCAUUCUGUAUGGUGUCCGACUUCUUUUUUUUGCUCAUUAUUUUUAUACGUUUUAUUUUCAAGUCGCGAGUUAUAUUGCUUAGGACAGCGCGAUUGAUCCUUAUUCGGACGUCCAUGUAAUGACAUUCUUCGCGAUCGUGUCCGGCUUUUUUGCAAUAGUUGCAAUAUUUAUUCACCGUGUUUACGCGGGAUGAUCUGUCGGAUUUCGGUAAUGGAAAACAGUUCAUGUAUCGGCUCGUUCGGCAAACUCGGCUGUAAUGUUCAGUUUUUCCGCAUCUUUGACAUUGCACAAUAGUUUUAUUUUCCGAUUUGUAGGUCGAUGCAAAAUUUGUUUUAUAUCGCGUGCCGGUCGCGGAUGGUCCUUUGACCUUUUCUUCCGCGCUAAUCGUUUCUUGUAACGUAGCAUAUCUUCGCGCUCGAACUAUCAUUUUAAUAUCGUCCUGUAAUUCGAUUUGAAAAUUUUAUAGAGCUUAUUACUGGAUUAUUUUCAUUAUCACUCGUUUAUUAUCAACUGUGUGAUGGCGUCCUUUUGUCAUCGAUUCGUAUAGUUCCAUAGCUAGUUUAUCGGCUCUAAGUCCGUAUGUUUGUGCGCUUUCUCCCGAUUUUUGUUUUAACGUGUUGAAUUCAAUUUGCAAAUAGGUGCUCUUUUUCUCGCUACUCGCGUAGCAGACCUCUAAUUCAUUCUUUAAUUAUGCGAAGUCUCGAAUUUUUUGUGUUUGAAAAUCUAGCAUCGCUCUGCCUUUUAACUUUGUUCAUAGAACGGCUUCUAAUAAGGUUACUUCAUCUAACGGGUCAAUAUUUUCUACGGCAUAUGUAGUCGCGCUUAGGAAUCUCUUGAAGUUUACUUGGUAAUCCGUCGAAUUCCGGAAUCAUUCUGCGAGCUUCCUUUAAGAGUAAAAAUCCGCGUCCUCGUCGACGUCGUAUAUCAUCGGGCGUAAAAUCGUAUGUGGUGUCGGUCCGUUCUUCCGGGGGAGUUCUAUCCCUUAUCUCUAUGUUGCGGACCUCUGUUUCUUAUAUUGUAUAUUUUAGUGUAUAUUUCUAAUUUCGUGCCUUAUCUCAUCUCACGUAUCAUUUUUCUAAUGUCAUCGCUCGUUCCUUUUGGUUCUCUUUGUGGGUCGCGUUAUAAUUGUGCGUUCGGGAGCGGCUCAUAGUACAAUUGAACACGUUGCAAUUGCGCAUUGUGAUAUUAGACAUAAAGUUGCGCACCGUUCGAUUGGACACAUUUCAAUUGCGCACAAUUCGUUUGGACACAUUUCAUUUGCGCACCGUUCAAUUGGACACGUUGUUUCUGGACACAAUACAUGUUUUUGUAUAAAUUAAAAUUCAUACACACGCAUAUAUGCAUGUAUAAUUUUGAACUUUUUUAACAUUUAUUAUUAACUCCAUUUGGUAAAUAAAUAUUUGUUACAGUUUAUUUACACACAGUUCUUUUGCGCACAUUUCUUUUGCACACAUUUCUAUUGAACACAUAUCUUUUGCUCACAUUUCUUUUGCACACAUUUCUAUUGCACACAGUUCUUUUGCGCACAUUUCUUUUGCACACAUUUCGAGUCCGAUCGGACACUGUAGUACUUUGUAAGUUGUAAAGCGAGGUCCAUCCAGCCUAUCGGCGGGAAGGUUGCGGGAGGGGGACCGAAGACCCCCCUUGCAUCCCCGCCCUGUGUGUGUAUGUGUGUGUGUGCGUGCGUGCUUAAGAAAUAUGCGUAAAAGAAAUAUGCGCAAAAGAUAUGUGCGCAAAAAAACUGUGUGUAAACAAACUGUAAGAAACGUUUAUUAACCAAAUGAAAUUAAUAAUAAAUGUCAAUAAAUUUCAAAAUUAUACAUAUAUACAUGCGUGUGCAUGUAUUUUAAAUUAUAAAAAAAUAUGUGUUGUGUCCAAAGCAACGGUGUUCAAUUGAACAGUGCGCAAAUGAAAUGUGUCCAAAUGAACUGUGCGCAAAUGAAAUGUGUCCAAUCGAACGGUGCACAACUUUAUGUAUCUAAUAACACAGUGUGCAAUUGCAACGUCCAAUUGUACUGUGCAAAUGAAGACUUCUCGUGCGUUCGAUUCCGUCGCAUUUCUAUUUGCUUCUUCUCGUAAUCGACUAAUUUCCUGAUCGACAUCUUCCGAUGUGAUAGGUUGCGAUGUGGAUGUGCUUGGGUUAUACAUUUUUUGUGCGCGGUAAAUUUCUUCAGGAUCAAAUAUACUUGAAUCGUAUGACAUUAAUGAGAAUCGCGGCGGUAAUUUAAUUCGCUAGACGCGCUUAUAACUGAUUUAACCUCAAAAUCACGUUCUACAUUGAAUUAUUAAGCUAUUAAGCUAUUAUCUAAUUCACCCAAGGAAAAUUCGCGUUCAGUGACGACGUUUGUUCCGAGUUCUGGUUCGGAUGAGUUUUCGCUUAGAUUUAAUGCGUCUAAAUUUUUUCGUACGUUAUCGCAUAUAUCCCGGAGUGUUUCUAUUGCUGCUCUUGUAGAGCUUACCACGUUAUUUUUAAUGGCUUCAUUCGCUGAUUCGCUAAAUAGCCAUGAUCUAUUCGCUAUGCUUUUUGGCUGCGCGUUUCGGUUUUCCGGCAUUCACACGUUUUACAAUUUAUUAUAUUGUUCGACUUACAAUAUUAUGAUGAGCAGCAUUAUUUGUCGUCGGCCGUCGAGCAUCGAUCGAUGCGUGUUGUUGAGGCAGGUCAGUGAGCUUUCUCAGGUUGCGCUUAUCAUUGUUGCCUCGAUGUACCGGGUGGUUUGAAGUUUUCGAUGGACUUCUUCCCUUUUUCCUCAGUAGUGAUUGUCGACCUUUGAUAGAGUUUUUCUUGCUGUCUAGCGUUCUGGUUGGGGUUCCACGGAAUUUUCUUCUUUUUCGUGGUUUCUUUGCCGUAUCAGUCUUAUCAGAGUUAGCGUUAUCCCACAGCUACCACCAAUUAAUGUUGUGCCUAGCCACUGAGGAAGGGGUUGUUCGGGAUUUGCACGCUCAAAGGAUUAAGAUUCACUCUGAAUAAGAUACUCACGGUCUUCUGGUAUAACUUGAUAUAUUUUACAAGACUUUAUACACUUUGCACUUGUUCGCGCACUUAUAAAAGUCGGGCGCAAUACCUUAUAUUUUCGGCGAGCGUGAGAGCUGUCGUUCUUCUGAUUUUUGCUCUCCUCUGUGCUCAUCUCGUCUUGAUAUAUAUAUUAAUUGGUCGGAAGAGUAUGAUGACCCUGGCCGGAAGAGUAUGAUGACCACGUCUUCGCUUGUCAGUCUGUCUCGUCAGCUGCUUACUCAGCUUCCGAGAACUUGACCGUGGCUUCCUUUCGCGUCUUUUACAUAAUUUUAUUGUUAAUUUUUUAUUUCAUUAUUCUUUCUUGAUUACUUUUCCUUGGGCUAUAUUAAUUAUUAUGCUUUACUUUGCUCUUUCUUAAUCUUUCUUAAUCUUUACUUAAUCUUUUAUAUUUAAUCUAUUGGGAAAUUGAUUGGGGCUACGACAAAGAAUAGGGAUCAAUUUGUAUUCUUAUGUUUUAUCUUCUAAGCUCUUCACGCUUUGAUACAUUACUUUCAUGCACCCAAAAAGAACAAUUUUUAUUUGCAAUUCUAAAACGCCUAAAGCAACAAAUGGAACGGUUGAAAAUAGCGCUUAUCAGCAUGAGCGCUUACAGCGCGUGAACGCGAAUGAAUCUUAUAUUCAAACAUGCGGAUUAUGUAAGACUAUGUGUAACAAGGACGAAGUAUCCAUGUAUAAAUCUUGAAGGCUAUUCUAACUUUAUGACGAAUGAGAAUUUGUAUUUUUAUCCUUAGAUGAUGGAAUAAUUGUAAGAAGAAGUUUGAUACAAUGCACUGAAAUAAUAGCUGUACUUUUCCAUAGUGAUAAUCUAGAAAAUAUUCAGCCCAUUGUUGUGCCUCGCGGGGAGACACUGGAAUUUUGGGAUUUCGCCAUCAAGAGCUUAGGAGCCGAGGACCGGGUCGGGAGCCGGUUUAUAGAAAGUUAUAAUUUUUCAUAUAAAUAAAUCAGUUUUAUUCUUA
Long non-coding RNA from Cataglyphis hispanica, 4851 nucleotides. RefSeq lists it as uncharacterized. The record is from RefSeq and is a predicted model, not a curated record. Lineage: Eukaryota; Metazoa; Arthropoda; Insecta; Hymenoptera; Formicidae. The transcript has 4 exons.